AUCGAAACUCAAACUGUAACAGUCCUUUUAUUACUGGUUUAGAAGAUAGAUAAAUAUUGUUAAGGUAGUGGAUCUCGACAGGGUUGAUAUGAGAACACACGAGCAAUCAACGGCUAUAACGACGCUACGUCAUUGUUACAGCUCUCGUUUCAUGUGUUCUCAGGUCACCCCUGCUGAGCUCUUUCUCUACCGUCCAUGUUUUAUCAACGCCGUGGCCCGUG
RNAcentral lists this unclassified non-coding RNA (221 nucleotides) under Arabidopsis thaliana (thale cress). RNAcentral describes it as "partial MIR398c microRNA precursor". The stretch from base 69 to 183 matches the Rfam family "MIR398 microRNA precursor family". Lineage: Eukaryota; Viridiplantae; Streptophyta; Magnoliopsida; Brassicales; Brassicaceae. The record is from RNAcentral.